Sphaeramia orbicularis (orbiculate cardinalfish) is the source of this 261-nucleotide long non-coding RNA. RefSeq lists it as uncharacterized. NCBI's taxonomy places the organism in Eukaryota, Metazoa, Chordata, Actinopteri, Kurtiformes, Apogonidae. The transcript is spliced from 3 exons. The record is from RefSeq and is a predicted model, not a curated record.
UCAAACGCAGCUACCGAAACACCACCUCCUGUAACAACACCUCCUGUUUCCCCUGUUCACAGGUUUUUAAUAAAAGCCGAGCAUCUGUCCCUUCCACUAUGCUUUGAUGUCUCAAACACCCGUCUGAAACUACUCCACCAUCCCAACUGGCAGCUUUCUGUGAAUGGUGAGCUUGACUCAACACCAAAUGGAGGCUUUCAAAGGAUCAUCAUCCACUUCCAAACUAACCUGACUAUUGAAGUAGACACCAGUGGAUUCACU